CCUACGGGUGGCUGCAGUGGGGAAUAUUGCACAAUGGGGGAAACCCUGAUGCAGCGACGCCGCGUGAGUGAAGAAGUAACUCGUUAUGUAAAGCCCUAUUAGCAGGGAAGAAAAUGACGGUACCUGAGUAAGAAGCCGCGGCUAACUACGUGCCAGCAGCCGCGGGAACACGGAGGGGGCAAGCGUUAUCCGGAUUUACUGGGGGUAAAGGGAGCGUAGGCGGGAGUGCAAGUCUGGAGUGAAAGGCGGGGGCUCAACCCCCGGACUGCGCUGGAAACUGUACGGCUGGAGUGCAGGAGAGGUAAGUGGAAUUCCUAGUGUAGCGGUGAAAUGCGUAGAUAUUAGGAGGAACACCAGUGGCGAAGGCGGCUUACUGGACUUUAACUGACGUUGAGGCUCGAAAGCGUGGGGAGCAAACAGGAUUAGAUACCCGAGUAGUC
Molecule: ribosomal RNA, 440 nt
Filed under: uncultured bacterium
Lineage: Bacteria
Description: partial 16S ribosomal RNA
Rfam family: Bacterial small subunit ribosomal RNA
Source: RNAcentral